Molecule: non-coding RNA, 144 nt
Organism: Chelonoidis abingdonii (Abingdon island giant tortoise)
Lineage: Eukaryota; Metazoa; Chordata; Testudines; Testudinidae
Source: RefSeq, a predicted model, not a curated record
GACGUUUAGGCCGCCCUGCCAUGUGAGGCAGGAGAGGAGAAAGAAAAAACGAAUCCUAGUGUAAUCCUGCUGUACACCCGUAACCGAGCCUCGUCCACCUCGAAGCCUCUCUCUCAGCUCACUUGUUUUAAACAGAGUUUCUAC